GACGAACGCUGGCGGCGUGCCUAAUACAUGCAAGUAGAACGCUGAAGCUUGGUGCUUGCACCGAGCGGAUGAGUUGCGAACGGGUGAGUAACGCGUAGGUAACCUGCCUGGUAGCGGGGGAUAACUAUUGGAAACGAUAGCUAAUACCGCAUAAGAGUAGAUGUUGCAUGACAUUUGCUUAAAAGGUGCAAUUGCAUCACUACCAGAUGGACCUGCGUUGUAUUAGCUAGUUGGUGAGGUAACGGCUCACCAAGGCAACGAUACAUAGCCGACCUGAGAGGGUGAUCGGCCACACUGGGACUGAGACACGGCCCAGACUCCUACGGGAGGCAGCAGUCGGGAAUCUUCGGCAAUGGACGGAAGUCUGACCGAGCAACGCCGCGUGAGUGAAGAAGGUUUUCGGAUCGUAAAGCUCUGUUGUAAGAGAAGAACGAGUGUGAGAGUGGAAAGUUCACACUGUGACGGUAUCUUACCAGAAAGGGACGGCUAACUACGUG
Molecule: ribosomal RNA, 497 nt
Filed under: uncultured bacterium
Lineage: Bacteria
Description: partial 16S ribosomal RNA
Rfam family: Bacterial small subunit ribosomal RNA
Source: RNAcentral